AUGCACGACUGGGCGCCGGCGAUCAUAGCGACGGCGCUGUUCGCCCUGCUGUGCCCGGGAGGGAUCCUGCAGCUGCCCGGCCGGCAGCGGACGGUCGACUUCAUGAACCUCAGGACCAGCUGCCUGUCCAUCCUCGUCCACGCCGUCAUCUACGCCGUGCUGCUCAUGCUCUUCGUCGUCAUCUUGCAGGCUCAUCUCUACGUCUGA
Molecule: ribosomal RNA, 207 nt
Filed under: Triticum aestivum (bread wheat)
Lineage: Eukaryota; Viridiplantae; Streptophyta; Magnoliopsida; Poales; Poaceae
Description: partial small subunit ribosomal RNA
Source: RNAcentral